UGCACUGGAAAAUAGUCAAGCCGACCCUCAAAAAUGAAUUCUCUCUUUCUACUUUUUGACUUAAAUAUAAACCAAAAAAAAAAAAGAUUAUAAACAAGUUCAGCGAAGAGAGUAUAUAUUCCCUGUCGCCGUCCCAAAUGGAACAGGCAACGCAGGGUGGGGGCAGAAUAUCUUCCCAUCCUAUUUCAAUUAUGCAUGUUUCAAUCGAACCAAAAGUAGUUGACAUCAACAAUAUUCUGUCAAGAUAAUCAAAUUUAUAGAACAUACUUAAUGGAUACAUUCUAUACCCCACUAAGAAAGAAAUAAUUGAACCUCGACUACAAAUACAUCAACAGCCAUUACUUAGUUUUUAGUUAUAUUCCUUCCUAAAGUUAAAGCAUCUUUCGACCAACCAGAGUUCAUUAACAUUAUAUCUACACAAGAAACACAUCCCUCUUUCCACAUAAGAGAGAUAAAGAAAAAGCAAAGGCAGGGAGGUCACCUAUGA
This 487-nucleotide long non-coding RNA is filed under the name Olea europaea (common olive). RNAcentral's name for it is "long non-coding RNA (OEUR_LNC010937)". The record is from RNAcentral. Lineage: Eukaryota; Viridiplantae; Streptophyta; Magnoliopsida; Lamiales; Oleaceae.